This 899-nucleotide unclassified non-coding RNA is filed under the name Hevea brasiliensis (rubber tree). The record is from RNAcentral. Lineage: Eukaryota; Viridiplantae; Streptophyta; Magnoliopsida; Malpighiales; Euphorbiaceae.
UUCUGCAUCGUUUUCUUUCUCCAGCUGUCGGAGACCAACUGGAGAAAGAGAGAGAGGGAGAGAUGGAAGACCAGGAGGAGAAGGUGAAGAAAGCGGCGUUGCAGAUAAUCGGGCAAUUCCAGGACCUGCCUCGCUUGGUUGUCUUCGAUCUCGAUUACACUCUAUGGCCUUUUUACUGUGAGUGCUAUUAUGAAGAUGAUACCCCGUAUCUGUAUCCACACGCUGUAGGCAUAUUAGAAGCGCUGAAGGAAAAGGGAAUUGAGAUGGCUAUUGCUUCUAGAUCGCCUACUUCGCAGAUUGCCAAAUCAUUUCUGACUCAAUUGGGAAUCAACUCCAUGUUUGUGGCUCAGGAAAUUUUCUCCAGCUGGACUAACAAAACUGAGCAUUUUCAGAGGAUCCAUAGGAGGACUGGAUUGCCUUUUAGUUCAAUGCUUUUCUUUGAUGAUGAGGAUCGGAACAUUGAAGCUACAUCAAAAUUUGGUGUAACUAGCACCUUGGUUGGUAAUGGGGUAAAUCUUGGAGCGUUGAGGCAAGGACUAUCAGAAUUUUCCCACAAGUCUGAUUCUUCUAGCAGGAGCAUGAAGAAUUGAACUUUCUGUUAGUUAUAUAAAUAUCAUCUCAUAGUUUUCAAAUCAGGCUGAUUUGUGAAGGAGAUGGCGUUGCUGUGAUGUUUAGAAAUUUACAAGCAAAUUUUAUGUUGCAAGCGUACCACAUUAUUCAUUGAUGAUCAAAUUUUCUUACAAUGUUUAAGGGAAUGUUUGUUUGAGCAUAGAGGUGACAGACAAGUAUGCCUUUGGGUUCAUCUCAUUUGAGUUUGGCUGAUUUUAGGUUAUCUCAGGUCUGGUCUGUUUGCGGGUGUAUUCAAGUCAAAUUAUUUAAGCAUCACCAGCUUUAGCCAA